UAAUACGGAGGGUGCAAGCGUUAAUCGGAAUCACUGGGCGUAAAGCGCGCGUAGGCGGUCUAGUCAGUCAGAUGUGAAAGCCCCGGGCUCAACCUGGGAAUUGCAUUUGAAACAGCUAGACUAGAGUGUGGUAGAGGGAAGUGGAAUUCCGAGUGUAGCGGUGAAAUGCGUAGAGAUUCGGAGGAACAUCAGUGGCGAAGGCGACUUCCUGGACCAACACUGACGCUGAGGUGCGAAAGCGUGGGGAGCGAACAGGAUUAGAUACCCUGGUAGUCCACGCCGUAAACGAUGUCUACUAGCCGUCGGGGAGCUUGACUCCUUGGUGGCGCAGCUAACGCGAUAAGUAGACCGCCUGGGGAGUACGGCCGCAAGGCUA
Molecule: ribosomal RNA, 376 nt
Filed under: uncultured Gammaproteobacteria bacterium
Lineage: Bacteria; Pseudomonadati; Pseudomonadota; Gammaproteobacteria
Description: bacterial SSU rRNA
Rfam family: Bacterial small subunit ribosomal RNA
Source: RNAcentral